Small nucleolar RNA from Gossypium raimondii (Peruvian cotton), 107 nucleotides. It matches the Rfam family "Plant small nucleolar RNA R71". From Rfam's summary of the family: R71 is a member of the C/D box family of snoRNAs containing the C (UGAUGA) and D (CUGA) box motifs. Multiple nearly identical copies of this snoRNA have been identified in Arabidopsis, and it is thought to function as a 2'-O-ribose methylation guide for 18S ribosomal RNA. NCBI's taxonomy places the organism in Eukaryota, Viridiplantae, Streptophyta, Magnoliopsida, Malvales, Malvaceae. The record is from Rfam.
AUCCCAUGAUGAGGACAUUUACGAAGUAAUUCAUUGAAUAUUUCCUACGCCUCAUAUAAUGACUCAUCAUCCAAUUGUUGGAAAGUAGUUAUCUCAUUUCGCAACUU